RNAcentral lists this transfer RNA (65 nucleotides) under Phloiophilus edwardsi. RNAcentral's name for it is "tRNA-Phe". The record is from RNAcentral. Lineage: Eukaryota; Metazoa; Arthropoda; Insecta; Coleoptera; Phloiophilidae.
AUUUAAAUAGCUUAUAUCAGAGUAUAAUAUUGAAGAUAUUACGGAAAUCUAAUGAUUUUUAAAUA